CACUGGUCGAGUGAUCCUGCGCCGAAGAUUUCCGGGGCUAAAACUUACUACCGGAGCAACGGCGUCAGUAAUGAUGGGUAGGGGAGCUUCCCAUACGGGUUGAAGCAUGACCGUAAGGACAUGUGGACAGUAUGGGGGUGAGAAUGUUGGCAUGAGUAGCGAGAUGUGGGUGAGAAUCCCACAGGCCGUAAACCCAAGGUUUCCAGGGGAAGGUUCGUCCGCCCUGGGUUAGUCGGGACCUAAGCUGAGGCCGAAAGGCGUAGGUGAUGGACAACAGGUUGAUAUUCCUGUACUACCGAUAACCGUUUG
Molecule: ribosomal RNA, 309 nt
Filed under: Clostridioides difficile
Lineage: Bacteria; Bacillati; Bacillota; Clostridia; Peptostreptococcales; Peptostreptococcaceae
Description: partial 23S ribosomal RNA
Rfam family: Bacterial large subunit ribosomal RNA
Source: RNAcentral